AAAGUCGUAACAAGGUUUCCGUAGGUGAACCUGCGGAAGGAUCAUUAACACUUUUUAUUAUUUUGUUUUUUUUCUAAAACAAAAUUUAAAACCCCACAAUUUUGGAUGAAUUUAAUUAAUUUAUUUUUUAUUUUAUUUUUUUUAUUAUAACCCUAUUAUUUGACUAACAUUUUUAUUUAAUUAUUAAAAAAUUAAAAAAACAACUCUUAACAACGGAUAUCUUGGCUCUC
RNAcentral lists this unclassified non-coding RNA (230 nucleotides) under fungal sp. RNAcentral describes it as "partial internal transcribed spacer region". The stretch from base 1 to 47 matches the Rfam family "Eukaryotic small subunit ribosomal RNA", at positions 1785 to 1831 of the family's 1831-position model. The record is from RNAcentral. RNAcentral also lists the same sequence under 1 other name. Lineage: Eukaryota; Fungi.